GACGAACGCUGGCGGCGUGCUUAACACAUGCAAGUCGAACGAUGAAGCCUAGCUUGCUAGGUGGAUUAGUGGCGAACGGGUGAGUAAUACGUGAGUAACCUACCUUUAACUCUGGGAUAAGCCCGGGAAACUGGGUCUAAUACCGGAUACGACCAAUCUCCGCAUGGGGUGUUGGUGGAAAGCGUUAUGUAGUGGUUAUAGAUGGGCUCACGGCCUAUCAGCUUGUUGGUGAGGUAACGGCUCACCAAGGCGACGACGGGUAGCCGGCCUGAGAGGGUGACCGGCCACACUGGGACUGAGACACGGCCCAGACUCCUACGGGAGGCAGCAGUGGGGAAUAUUGCACAAUGGGCGCAAGCCUGAUGCAGCGACGCCGCGUGAGGGAUGACGGCCUUCGGGUUGUAAACCUCUGUUAGCAGGNAAGAAGAGAGAUUGACGGUACCUGCAGAGAAAGCGCCGGCUAACUACGUGCCAGCAGCCGCGGUAAUACGUAGGGCGCGAGCGUUGUCCGGAAUUUAUGGGCGUAAAGAGCUUGUGGCGGUUUGUCGCGUCUGCUGUGAAGGCCGGGGCUUAACUCCGUGUAUUGCAGUGGGUACGGGCAGACUAGAGUGCAGUAGGGGAGACUGGAAUUCCUGGUGUAGCGGUGGGAUGCGCAGAUAUCAGGAGGAACACCGAUGGCGAAGGCAGGUCUCUGGGCUGUAACUGACGCUGAGAAGCGAAAGCAUGGGGAGCGAACAGGAUUAGAUACCCUGGUAGUCCAUGCCGUAAACGUUGGGCACUAGGUGUGGGGAACAUUCCACGUUUUCCGCGCCGUAGCUAACGCAUUAAGUGCCCCGCCUGGGGAGUACGGCCGCAAGGCUAAAACUCAAAGAAAUUGACGGGGGCCCGCACAAGCGGCGGAGCAUGCGGAUUAAUUCGAUGCAACGCGAAGAACCUUACCAAGGCUUGACAUAUACUGGACCGCAUCAGAGAUGGUGUUUCCCUUCGGGGCUGGUAUACAGGUGGUGCAUGGUUGUCGUCAGCUCGUGUCGUGAGAUGUUGGGUUAAGUCCCGCAACGAGCGCAACCCUCGUUCUAUGUUGCCAGCACGUAAUGGUGGGGACUCAUAGGAGACUGCCGGGGUCAACUCGGAGGAAGGUGGGGAUGACGUCAAAUCAUCAUGCCCCUUAUGUCUUGGGCUUCACGCAUGCUACAAUGGCCGGUACAGAGGGUUGCGAUACUGUGAGGUGGAGCUAAUCCCUAAAAGCCGGUCUCAGUUCGGAUUGGGGUCUGCAACUCGACCCCAUGAAGUCGGAGUCGCUAGUAAUCGCAGAUCAGCAACGCUGCGGUGAAUACGUUCCCGGGCCU
RNAcentral lists this ribosomal RNA (1346 nucleotides) under uncultured bacterium. RNAcentral describes it as "bacterial SSU rRNA". It matches the Rfam family "Bacterial small subunit ribosomal RNA", at positions 28 to 1381 of the family's 1533-position model. The record is from RNAcentral.